This 333-nucleotide ribosomal RNA is filed under the name Thyreocoris scarabaeoides. RNAcentral describes it as "eukaryotic LSU rRNA". It matches the Rfam family "Eukaryotic large subunit ribosomal RNA", at positions 680 to 965 of the family's 3401-position model. The record is from RNAcentral. Lineage: Eukaryota; Metazoa; Arthropoda; Insecta; Hemiptera; Thyreocoridae.
GUGUGCGCGAGUCAUUGGGUGCAAACCUAAAGGCGCAAUGAAAGUGUCAGUGGGGGAUCCUACGGGACCGCCUCCCGCUGGGAGGAUGGGCUGCCGUGCAGACACCUGCCGGCGCCCCGCACUCCCGGGGCGUCUCGUUCUCUUAACGAGUGGAGACGCACCAUGAGCGCACACGCUGGUACCCGAAAGAUGGUGAACUAUGCCUGGCCAGGACGAAGCCAGGGGAAACCCUGGUGGAGGUCCGAAGCGAUUCUGACGUGCAAAUCGAUCGUCUGAGCUGGGUAUAGGGGCGAAAGACCAAUCGAACCAUCUAGUAGCUGUUUUCCUUGCGGA